Non-coding RNA from Pseudopodoces humilis (Tibetan ground-tit), 4521 nucleotides. NCBI's taxonomy places the organism in Eukaryota, Metazoa, Chordata, Aves, Passeriformes, Paridae. The record is from RefSeq and is a predicted model, not a curated record.
GAAUAAUUAGAACUGCGUAGUAUUUGGAAUACUUAAGCCCAAGAAAAUCUUGGGAAUAUUAAAAGGGUGAUGUUAAAUCCCCUGUCAAGGAAGGAAGAGCAUGGCCAGGCUUUGAAAGGGUGAACAAAAGGGAAGAUCUGUGGUCUAUGCUGGAUGUGCUGUCCCACUGCUAACAAAUUCAUGCAGAUCUUCCUACAGGUCUGGUGAUGCAGGCUUCCCAGCUUCCACUUUUGUCAAACUGAUUUUAUCACCUGGAGCUGUACAGUGUCAGGGCCAGUACUCCACUGUGUUUUCUGGGAUGCCCAGGUACUACAGGUGAUGAACUUAAGAAGAGUCAAGAGGUGGAGAAGAUGGGAGAAGAUGGACUUGGGGAAGGUCUGGUGCUGAUGGAGACCUGAAACAUUACAGAACAUGAGGCAAAAAUAUUUCCUGGGAAUAUUUCAGUAUCUUGGAAUGAAGACCUGGUCUGAUGGCAUAUCUGGAAGAGAGAGAUAACUACUACUAACUGUUCUUUGGAGUAUAUAUCAUCACAACAGAUCACUCACACCUGCUUUUCUCCCUAAGCUUACUUUGCAAUAAUGUAUCACAAUUUUAUUAUCUUUACCCAUUUUCUUCUCUUCAUAGCUCUUUGCACUCCCACCUUGUGCCUGGAAAAUUUUCUGAGAUAAUUCAGAUGUCUCCUAUGCUGCCAUAAUUUCAUACGUACCUGGGACAGUUAAAUGUUUUUGUUUUUUCUGCAUUUUGGGUUCAUGUAAAGUCAUGGGAAAGAGAUCUCUGCAUUUUUUGGUAUGAAAUACAAUAUUUUUUCUCUAUUUCUUUACUUUUUUCUAUUAUCUUUUAUCUUGUUAUUUGAAUGCAGCAUAAGUGAUUCUUAUAAUACAUUGAUAUGAUUAAUAUAUUUUCAAAUUUCUGGUUUUAUUGUAUGAAAUGCUUUUGGAUCAGAAGGCUUGCUAACUUGUUCAAGGCCACUGUGCCUUAUAAUUAUAAAGUAUGUAUUUAUAUGGCCUGAAGAUCUCCUGGAGGUCUACAAAAGGAAAAAAAAUCCAUUAAUUUUUCUAACUUAUGGCAAUCUAAAAACAAUUCUGUUUGUUUGUUUGUUUUCUUUUAAAACAAGCAUGUCUUUCUAAAGCUGAGAAUAGCUCCAGGGAAUACAAUACUGGAGAAAGAUAUUCAGAAGAUCAUUUAAAACCUGAUGUAAACAUUAUUAUAUAUUAUUAUAUUAUUAUAUUAUUACAGACCUAUAGUAAGAACAAUUUUACUAAAGAGGGGAAAAAAAGUCCUGUUGUUACUCCAGAUUAUGCAGAAAGAAAUGUGGGGCUUUUUUCCAUCCAACCUAAGAGAGUAUGUGAAUAAUCAUUUAAAUCAAGCACUGACAUCUGCAUGUGCUUCAGUUGGCUUGCUUUUAAUCAACAAACUGUCAGCCUAUGACAUUACUGUAAGUACACAGUUCAAGUGCCAAGAAAUUACAGGCCAUUUUAAGUCCUGGGACUGAGUUGGUUGGUGAGUUAAUACAAGUGCAUCUAAGAUGUAUGCCUCGUGCCUGAACAGAUACAAAGUAUGCUUAUUUUGGCUGGUGGAAGUACAUCCUGGAAUGUGUUUUUUCGACUUAAAACAGCUUGAUGAAAAAAAAACAAAUGAAAAGUAAAAGAAAAAAAUUUGGAAAAAAAGGCAAGAAGUUUCUAAAUGCCAGUUUGUCUGGUUUAAGAGUUAUUAACACACUAAGAAUUUAAAAGUAGAAUAGGUGCUGGUCUGUGAUGGGAAAACACAUUUAAUGAAUACAGGAACAAAAACUAGGGGGGAAAAAAGAACAACGAGCAGGAGAGAUUUACUGCAGUUUUAGUUGCAUUAGCCUAUGUUUGCUCUCACUUGCCAUGAACUCGCUGAAGCUACUCUUCCUUUGACGUGGCCACAGCAGCUGAAAAUGAAAGUUGACCCUUUCAGCAUCAGCUAUGCAAGGCAAGAUCUGCUCCAGGCCCUGGGACAUGCUUCCCUGUUCAUGAGUUUUCAGCUUUUUUUUCAAAAAAAGAAGCCAUGCUCAGUGAGAAAUCAGUUUCUGAGAAAAAUUUGAGGAUGUGAGUGUGUUACUAUAUUGAUAGGCACAGAUAUUCAAAUUCUAACUUGCAGAAAAGAAAAAAAGAGAUGCGGCCACAUUUCCCAUUUAGAGAAGGAACAAUAAAGUCUCUUAAAAUCCUGCUUCCUAUAAUCCCAAUGCAUGGCUGAACACUGCAAAGCAUUUUCUUUCUCACUUCCCUGGCUUCUGAGACAUCAGAUACUAUCUGUUGUUAGAUGCAGGAUGCUGGAUUAGGUAUGGCAGCUCUUGUGUUCCCAAGGGAUUGCUCUGCUGGGGUUGCUACUGUUUGUCUGCAUUCAAAGAUGGAUUUAAACUGAUAAAGAAAGAAAACUUGUAUAAAGCAUACAGUAACUCAUUCUGUUAAGGAUUUGGCAUGGCAUUCAAGGGAAACCAAUUAUGAUUUAUGUCAAUACAGCACAGAUAAUUUCCCAUUGAUUGACUGCCAGAUCCUUCAUAAAAUAAUGAGUUAGGCCUGAUGCCAGUGAUUCUUGAACACCAUCAGGCCAGUGUUUCUAUUUCAUAUGCCCUUGACAAGGCUUCUCUCAAAAAUUUGUGCGUUAAAUGAGUUUAUAAGUUCUCUUCAAAUAUGCAGACUCAAACAAAUAUAAUCUGUGAUUCCCUUAUGUGUUAGUGGGGUUUUUGAAAUGCAUGCUCGUGUCUAGGCAUUUGGCUACAGGUCUAGCAAAAGUGAGUAUUCAUUCAUUACUUAAAAACCAAACAAACAAUAGGAGUUUCUCUGUUUGCUAAGGAUUUCUCUUAGGAGAUUAGUGCAUGCCCAUAUUCCAAGCAGUUCUCAGAGACAAAUAACUUGUGCAAGCCUGUGGUUACCUGGAAACAAAUUGUAUUUCUUGAGGACUAACUGGUGUGGGGAAAGUCCUCUGUGUUUGUCCAGAACAGUCAUUUACAAAUCUUCUAUUGCUGCAGGCCUGACCAAUGCCAGUCACUGCGUAGUGUGUGUGUGUGUUCAUUAUUCAAGAGACACAGAACUGAAUUUUCCUACCCUAAGGAUGAGGAGAUGGGGGCUGGCCAUGUCUGGAUUGCUUGUGGUGUGGGAUUAUUAAGCAGCUGAAACUUCCUUUACAAAUGUGUGAGCGGAAUGAAGGCAGCAAAUGGUGCUUCUAGAGAGGACAUAUGCCAUCUGUCUCAGGAGAGUUUGCCAUCCCAAACACAGAACUUCUCCCUUGAAAGUAUCUGCAGCUGCUCUGUUUUUCUGCUCCCUUGCAAUAAACAGUCAGGUCAUAGACAUCUGGUGUGAGCAGUGCCAUCCUUUUUGUGCCAUAGCUGAUUUUGGCUAUGGUGGAGUUAAUUUUCUUCCUAGCAGCCAGUCAGGUGCUGUGUUUUGGAUUUCUGCUGAAGACAGUGUUGAUAACACAGGGUUGUUUUUGUUAUUGUUGUGCACUCUGUACACAGAGCCAGGCCUUUUCUGCUUCUCACCCCAUCCCACCAGUGAAUGAGCUGGCCAUGUACAACAAGCUGGGAGGGGACACAGCCAGGACAGCUGACUCCAACUGACCUGAAGGAUAUCCCAUACCAUAUGAUGUCAUGCUCAGUAUAUAAAGCUGUGGGAAGCAAGAGGGAGGCAGGGAUAUUCAGAGUGAUGGUAUUUUUCUUCCCAAGUAACCAUUUCCCAUGACAAAGCCUGGGCUCCCUGGAGAUGGCAGAACACCUGCCUGCCCAUGGGAAGUAAUGAAUUAAUUCCUUGUUUUGUUUGUUUGAGUGUGCAGUUUUUGCUUUACCUAUUAAACUGUUUUUAUCUCAGCCCAUGAGUUUUCUCACUAUUGCCUAUCCAAUUCUGUCCCCAGUCCAAGGCAAAAAGAGUGAGAAGCUGUGUGGUGCUUUGUUGGCAGCUGGGGCUAAACCCACUCACUUUCCUGUUGCUGACAGUCUUCUGUCUUAGGACACUGCCUGUCUUGCCUAUGCCCAGCCACAUCCACAUAUGUUUCCAUGAAUGCUUCAUAUCUAACUAUUUAGAGAACUCUGAAAACUUGAAAUUAUUGCUUUCCUUGCAGAAAAUCUAGAAAACAUCUUAAAAAGUCUUCAUCUCCCCUUCUGAGAGAUGAGCAAACUGGUAUGGUGAGGUUCACCUGGAGGCUCACAGCCUCCAGGGAGUUUGGGUAGGAACACAAAAGAAAUAAUAGGUAUGGUGAGGAAGAAAUUAAUUUUAAAGGAGAAAGCAAAAAAGAUAUCAGCUGGAGGAGACAUGAUUUUUAGAAAUAAGUCUUACCAAGCUUGGCAUUUUUUAGGGGAUGGGAAAAGCAAACCAGCUAAAGCUGGAAUUAAUAAAUAUAUGGAAGGUAAUGGGAGUGUUUUAGAUGUUCAUGUAAAGUUUUAAGUCUUGUUCUAAUGGCUGUGUGCUUUUUGGUUAAUAAAUACUGCACUCUUCUCAAUGGAAGAAGUUUGUUGUGUGCACUUAAACUAAAAGUAGUCUCCCGAAUGGAAACCUAUUGACA